AUGUAGCACAAGUGAUUUAGCUACAUAGUAGUGACCAGAGAUACAAUACAUAACACACAAUAGUGCUAAUUUAUGUUGAUUUUAUUAAAAUUCAUAAUUUAUCUGAUUACAAAACAAGAAGAAAAAAUAUUUCUGGAAAGAAAGAAACGAAAAGAAAUUUUGUAUGUGUUUUAAUUUAUUUUUGAGUUUUUCAUCUGGUUACAUCAUGCAUGUGAAAAUAGGGUACUGCCCCUUUAAGCCUGCUCUUUCUAGAACGUGCUCUCGGGCCGUGGGAGAAUCGAAUCCUCCAUUUUGAGAAGAGCGUUAGAGCAGAACUCCUGUGGGUAAUGCGUCAGAACAUUGUUAUUUUGAAAGCAAAAAUUUGAUAAAAGACAUCACUAAACAAGGAUUUGGUCAGUUUUUUUUUUCCUGUGGAAACAAUGUCUGGAUAUUUCCUUUGAUGGCGAGCCCCCCAUGGAUCUGGACACUGGAUGAUC
Long non-coding RNA from Rhinichthys klamathensis goyatoka, 476 nucleotides. RefSeq lists it as uncharacterized. The transcript has 3 exons. NCBI's taxonomy places the organism in Eukaryota, Metazoa, Chordata, Actinopteri, Cypriniformes, Leuciscidae. The record is from RefSeq and is a predicted model, not a curated record.